GUGGGGAAUAUUGCGCAAUGGCCGAAAGGCUGACGCAGCGACGCCGCGUGUGGGAUGACGGCCUUCGGGUUGUAAACCACUGUCGCGAGGGACGAAAUUCUGACGGUACCUCGAAAGGAAGCACCGGCUAACUCUGUGCCAGCAGCCGCGGUAAUACAGAGGGUGCAAGCGUUGUCCGGAAUCACUGGGCGUAAAGGGCGCGUAGGCGGCCUGGUAAGUCGGGGGUGAAACGCUGCGGCUCAACCGCAGCACGGCCUUCGAGACUGUCAGGCUUGAGCACGGUAGAGGCAGAUGGAAUUCCCGGUGUAGCGGUGGAAUGCGUAGAGAUCGGGAAGAACAUCGGUGGCGAAGGCGGUCUGCUGGGCCGUUGCUGACGCUGAGGCGCGACAGCGUGGGGAGCAAACAGGAUUAGAUACCCGAGUAGUCC
Molecule: ribosomal RNA, 427 nt
Filed under: uncultured bacterium
Lineage: Bacteria
Description: bacterial SSU rRNA
Rfam family: Bacterial small subunit ribosomal RNA
Source: RNAcentral